GACGAACGCUGACGGCGUGCUUAACACAUGCAAGUCGAACGGAAAGACCCUGCUUUUGUGGGGUGCUCGAGUGGCGAACGGGUGAGUAACACGUGAGUAACCUGCCCUUGACUUUGGGAUAACUUCAGGAAACUGGGGCUAAUACCGGAUAGGAGCUCCUGCUGCAUGGUGGGGGUUGGAAAGUUUCGGCGGUUGGGGAUGGACUCGCGGCUUAUCAGCUUGUUGGUGGGGUAGUGGCUUACCAAGGCUUUGACGGGUAGCCGGCCUGAGAGGGUGACCGGCCACAUUGGGACUGAGAUACGGCCCAGACUCCUACGGGAGGCAGCAGUGGGGAAUAUUGCACAAUGGGCGGAAGCCUGAUGCAGCAACGCCGCGUGCGGGAUGACGGCCUUCGGGUUGUAAACCGCUUUCGCCUGUGACGAAGCGUGAGUGACGGUAAUGGGUAAAGAAGCACCGGCUAACUACGUG
This 468-nucleotide ribosomal RNA is filed under the name uncultured bacterium. RNAcentral's name for it is "partial 16S ribosomal RNA". It matches the Rfam family "Bacterial small subunit ribosomal RNA", at positions 28 to 507 of the family's 1533-position model. The record is from RNAcentral.